CAUAGUCUACAGUUGUGGUUCACCUGUGGCACGGUAUUGAGACACUAGGCAUUUCGGCAUAUUGUGACUGUAUUGCUUGGGGACCUACCAUGCCACCAGAGUCAUUAUAACUUCAGAAAGUAUUAUGCAAGAUAUACUGACUGACAGAAGGUCGAUAUUCAUUCUUCCUGAUAGAAUUUACCAUAAAAAGCAUAUUUCGUCUCUUGGAAAAGCUUCGUGAAAAGGGGCACAUAGGAGAGAAAAACAACAGCAUAAAUAUGAAAUAUGUUAAGUGUUCUUUAUUUCCAUUAGGGUAGUCUGAAGCGCUACUUGCGAACUCACACAGGCGAAAAACUUUAUAAAUAUAAUUCAAUUGCAAUGUUUGUCCCAAGAAAUUUGCCUUAGAAAUCGCACUGAAGAACCCCAUGGAAUGGAAACCUACUAGCGAAGUACGCGUAAAAAUAUUGGAUAUUGCAACGGCCUGUUCAAUAUCAAUGUUGGAAACAACGGAGGACAAUUAGCCUGUUAUUGAACCAAUAAGUUCGUCAACACUCACCAAGGAAGCCCAUGAUCUAGAAUGCAACCUGAGAGAGCUUUGUAUAACAAGUGACAUUGCAAACUCAACGGAAAUCACCAGUCAGCCAUACAAGACUUCCUCCAAGAGAAACCACACCAGACUGCCAUCACUCAACCAGAUUUUCAAAACUCACCCUCCAACCAAGAGACAAAUGAAGACACGACCGGAGAGAAAAAGAGCAGAGAUAAGCAAUGGAACCAAAUCCAGAAACGCUCAAAGACACGCCCAUAGCAAUGUCGAUACCCCGAUGCCCAGUCCACCGACGGAGACAAUCGAGCUGGACGUCAGAACUGACUGCCUGACGAAGGCCGAGUGUGACAGGAUUCUCUCCGCCUCGGGCACCGUGCGUAUAAGAAGCCCAUCGGUGUGUAGGGACUGCAGCUUACUGAAGCUUCGGAACGAGAAAUGAACACUCGUCGUUGGAAAAAAAAAAAGAAAUCGGGAAAGAGAGAAUGGGAUUAAUAAAAGUGGAACAAUCCACUGAACACUGCUUGUUGAAAAGAAAGAAAAGAAAGGGGGAAAGAGAGAAUGGGAUAAAUGAUAAAUGUGGAACAAUCCACUGAACACUGCUUGUUGAAAAGAAAGAAAAGAAAGGGGGAAAGAGAGAAUGGGAUAAA
This 1173-nucleotide long non-coding RNA is filed under the name Penaeus japonicus. RNAcentral's name for it is "uncharacterized LOC122261276". Lineage: Eukaryota; Metazoa; Arthropoda; Malacostraca; Decapoda; Penaeidae. The record is from RNAcentral.